Molecule: ribosomal RNA, 403 nt
Filed under: uncultured bacterium
Lineage: Bacteria
Description: partial 16S ribosomal RNA
Rfam family: Bacterial small subunit ribosomal RNA
Source: RNAcentral
GACGAACGCUGGCGGCGUGCCUAAUACAUGCAAGUCGAACGCAGUGGGGACGGGUGAGUAACACGUGGGUAACCUCCCAUCAGAGGGGAUAACACUUGGAAACAGGUGCUAAACCGAUACUGAUGGAUGGACCCGCGGUGCAUUAGCUAGUUGGUGAGGUAACGGCUCACCAAGGCCACGAGGCAUAGCCGAGCUGGGAGGGGGAUCGGCCACACUGCAAAUGAGCUACGGACCAGACUCGUCCGUGAGGCAGCGGUAGGGAAUCUUCGGCAAUGGACGAAAGUCUGACCGAGCAACGCCGCGUGAGUGAAGAAGGUUAGCGUAUCGUAAACCUCUGUUGUUAGAGAAGCGGUAUCUAACCAGAAAGCCACGGCUAACUACGUGCCAGCAGCCGCGGUAAUUC